Falco peregrinus (peregrine falcon) is the source of this 2703-nucleotide long non-coding RNA. RefSeq lists it as uncharacterized. The transcript is spliced from 2 exons. NCBI's taxonomy places the organism in Eukaryota, Metazoa, Chordata, Aves, Falconiformes, Falconidae. The record is from RefSeq and is a predicted model, not a curated record.
GCAACUUGGGCUGGUGGGAGGUGUCCCUGCCCAUGGCAGGGGGUCGGAACUAGAUGGUCUUUAAGGUCUCUUCCAACCCAAACCAUUCUGUGAUACGGAUUCUGUGCAGGGGAGGGAAAGGCUACUGUCAGAGGCCCAGGCGACUUCAGGAGGAAAGGGUCACCUGCCCCAUCACCCACUCCAGCCCCUGCACAGCCCUCAUUUGAUGGGAGAAAUGGGGCUGACACGUCCCCUCUUACCCUUCUGAAACAAGCACUUACCCAGCUCACACCAGCCGCUAAAUACACACACACACACUAAACCAGCACUUUCUUCUGCAAAAAGGCACCAGCAGCUAAAUAACAGGGAAAAUUCAAAACACCACCGUCUGAACUGUUUGCUGCCACUUCUCUUUCAUUUUCGCACCUAAGGUUAGGUGCUGCAAAUACACACCCAGCGCCUUACUCUGCCUCACCAGCCAAGGCAAACAGAAGGUCAUAGACUCCAUCUGAGGGACACCAACCUACACCACAUGAGCUCCAGGAGAUCUGAUUUUUGCCUUGGUGAACACAAGCAACUUUGCUGAAGGCCAGCCCUGCGUUAGAGCGACACGCUCAGCCUGCACACAUAUACUCCUGGUGGAGAAGCCAGCUCAUCCUUUAUUUCCCAAGAUUCUUCUGGGCCUGAUCGUGAACUGCGGUACAUGCCUUGAGUUGGAAUCCCAGCUGCCUUCCACGACAGCUGCCACGAAUUGCACAAGCCCAGCUUCACUGCAGGAUUUGAGAAUAAGAAGGAAUAAAACUGCCAGAUGGCGAAGGGUCUACAGCUCCUGCAGAGAUUUCUGGAGACAGGAUCUGAGUAUCACCCCUUAUCCCUCUAGCAGAAGGCCUCUCAUGAAACUAUGCCCUCCAGCAGCACCUGCAGCAUCUUUGCAUGCCACCUGCACUUGGUUUAUACCAAUGCUGGGAAGCCCUACAAUGGCACUAGAGCUUUGCAGAAUACAGAUAUAUUUUUAAACAUUUGCUUCAUGGUUUAGGACAGAGACUUACUUCCAAGCAUGCUUCCAGUUUCUGCACAGCAAACAAAUUUCUCUCCUGUAAGUUCUCCAAGUUUCCAGGAAAAUGCUCGUUCAUUGCCCUAGUAAUACCAUUCACCUCUUUGUAACACAUUUUAAUUAAAUUUUUUCCAACAAGCCUCUUUUAGCUCAGACCCACUGAAGGGCUUCUUAACAUAGUUGUGACGCCAAGUGUUGGAAAAAAUCCAGGGCUUUAUUUAACUGGACAUCUUGCUGCUCUGUUUCAGUUAACUAGAAAUGGCAAUGGCAUGGUUUGUCGCUGGUUCAGGUUACAGCAAGAAUUCUCGCCGUGAGAAAAUCAUUGGAAAUUCCAGGUAAGCCUGCAGGCUGAUAAGAGCAGCAAUGUGGUUUCCCUGACUCUGGCCUGGGUUUGGUGCCAGAACAGCUGGCUCCAGUUUUCUGCUCCCUCAGGUCGUUCUGCAUGACGCCCGAACGCCCCGCAGGUUCCAGGCGGUGAAAGCAUCACAAAUUUCAUCUCCCUUGGCAUCUGCGGCUGAGCUACCCCAGACUGCCGCUCCAGAUUGCAGCCUGAGCGUGCCCCGAAGGAAGAGACAAUCUUGUGGCUCUGCAACAGAGCCAUCUGAAAGCUCCAAGACUCAUUUUUGCACGGAAGGAAAUUAACAGCUUCUAUAUAGGAAAGAAUCUGAGCUCACACGUCCAGCCAGAUCCAGGCAGGUUCCUUCCAUGAACCCCUCUCACCAUUCCCGUGUUGUCCAAGGUCCUACCAUGGGGCUAAUCCAGGACCCACCGCAGAGUGGAGUAUGUUGAAUAGAAGGAAGAUUCUGCAGCUGAACUGAUGAAAAUCAGGGAGAAAUGGACUACAGUUUUUUUAAGCUCAGUAAGAUUUUCUGCUAUAUUUAACAGACCUAGACUCUCCAGAAGAAAGCAGGUGUAUUAGCUGUCAGCUGGCUCGGUGAACACAGCCCAAGUGUUUCCUGGUUGGUUCCAGACAUUUUAUUUUGUUCUUACCUCUGAGUACAGUGGAUUUCCUCUGGACCUCUUCAUGUGAGAAAGUAGCUUGUUUUGCAUUUAACCAACGUUUACAGGCACAACGGAACUUCAAAAUGAAAAAUAGUCUAAAAUUUUCAUCUUAAGAAAGAUCAGAAAGUUCUCCUUUUUUUAACGCAGUAAUUCCCAGGUGCAGCUGGUAACAGAGAGACUGUGGGGUUGGAAGGCCCUAGCCUUCCACUGUGCAUUUGACUGAAGCAUGACAUCAUGUCCCCUUUCCAGACUGACUUUUUUCCCUUUCCCUUGUUACCAUAAAGAAUUGUCACAAGAAAAAUCACUGCAGCUCUCGGGUCCAUUUCCCUGUCUUUCUGCAAGGCUGUGGAAAAACCUGAUGGAUCCUGGACCACAGCCAUGGCAUGCAGCGAAUGAUACCUGCGUGGCUAAAAGUACCCCAUGUACAGGCAAGGGAGGGAGAGCAGAACUGCUCCACAGUUCAGCCACUGGCCAGGACUACACUGACCAAGACUACAAAGCCAGACAAAUUCAAACAAGUUCAGAACACUCCUUCCAGCAACUUUGCUUAGCAUUUCUAGCUGAUGUCCACCGCUCUGGGGGCUGUGCCUACCUAUUUCAAAGUCCAGAAGUAGAUUUCAUUGAGUUAUUUAUAUUUCAUUCAUUUGAUGCAAUAAAUUUGCACGUUA